This 979-nucleotide long non-coding RNA is filed under the name Salmo salar (Atlantic salmon). RNAcentral's name for it is "lncRNA (ENSSSAG00000093648.1)". The stretch from base 497 to 567 matches the Rfam family "mir-24 microRNA precursor family". Lineage: Eukaryota; Metazoa; Chordata; Actinopteri; Salmoniformes; Salmonidae. The record is from RNAcentral.
AAAUCACCACUGCGUCAUAAUCUUCUUUUCAAAACACAACCUACUACAUGGCUAUUUGAGGGUUCGGCUGGGCAGAAAACAGGAGUUUCCUCCCUCCUCUGGGGUUAUUUAAGGAAAACUCAGUGUUUCCCCUCCUCUCCAUGCAGUUCUGGGUGUGGUUUUGAAACUUCUGUGAAUGAUGUGUAUGCCUUCGACUCAGUCCUUAACUUAAAGAGGGGAGGAGGAGCGUAUUAGUUGGAGCACAGUUUGAGCUUGGGGUUGCAUUGGAGCUAAGGAGCAACUUGUAUGAUCUGCUGUAUUCUCUGUUUAAGCUAUGGCUUUAGGAUCAUCACACUAAGGGCAUAUAAAGACAAUUGGGCUUUAAAUCAAUCCCAAGUGAAAGCUGGCAGUACUUUUGUUAAUGAUCUCAGAGUUUUAGAAGACUUCCAACAUGCACACCAUCCCAAGGGUGUGCCUCCCUGUGGUGAAAAUGGAGCAUUGCGAGUUAUGGGGCUCAACCUCCUGUGCCUACUGAGCUGAUAACAGUUUGAUAUAAUGAGCACUGGCUCAGUUCAGCAGAAACCGGAGUUAUGCCUAUUAACAAAAUGAAACAUCAACAUAAUGCGUUCACAUAAUAAUGAUAAUCAACCAACAGAAAGCAAUCAGCAAACAAGGCAGAGAGAAGAAGUUGGUUCACCCCAGUCAUCCACUAGAUGACCCGAGACCAUGGAGGAAUACUGCUCCUGUCAUUUUUCCUCUAAAUAGAUUACAGGAGCAGAGCUUUUCCAGAUGUAUUUUCUACUGGAGCGUCUAGUUUUCUACAUUUCGACUUCUACGUCUAUUUAAUGUGAAAUGUUUUUUUCUUUGUGUAAGAAAGGCCCAAUAAAACAACCAGUCUAUGCACUAAGAUAAGAUUGUAUAGUUCCAAAAAUAAACUAGUAUACAUCAAAACUUUGCCUCCCUCUCUUUUUGCUUCUCAAAAGAUUAUCAUAGAGAAGGC